Small nuclear RNA from Gorilla gorilla gorilla (western lowland gorilla), 164 nucleotides. Its record names the gene U1. It matches the Rfam family "U1 spliceosomal RNA". Rfam says of the family: U1 is a small nuclear RNA (snRNA) component of the spliceosome (involved in pre-mRNA splicing). Its 5' end forms complementary base pairs with the 5' splice junction, thus defining the 5' donor site of an intron. NCBI's taxonomy places the organism in Eukaryota, Metazoa, Chordata, Mammalia, Primates, Hominidae. The record is from Ensembl.
AUUCUUACCUGGCAGGGGAGAUAACAUGAUCACGAAGGUGGUUUUCCCAGGGCGAGGUUUAUCCAUUGCACUCUGGGUGUGCUGACCCCUGUGAUUUCCCCAAAAGUGUGAAACUCAACUGCAUGAUUUGUGGUAGUGGGGGACUGCAUUCAUGCUUUCCCCUA